RNAcentral lists this ribosomal RNA (550 nucleotides) under uncultured bacterium. RNAcentral's name for it is "bacterial SSU rRNA". It matches the Rfam family "Bacterial small subunit ribosomal RNA", at positions 355 to 896 of the family's 1533-position model. The record is from RNAcentral.
UAGGGAAUCUUCCGCAAUGGGCGAAAGCUUGACGGAGCAACGCCGCGUGUGUGAUGAAGGUCUUCGGAUCGUAAAACUCUGUUAUUAGGGAAGAACAAAUGUGUAAGUAACUAUGCACGUCUUGACGGUACCUAAUCAGAAAGCCACGGCUAACUACGUGCCAGCAGCCGCGGUAAUACGUAGGUGGCAAGCGUUAUCCGGAAUUAUUGGGCGUAAAGCGCGCGUAGGCGGUUUUUUAAGUCUGAUGUGAAAGCCCACGGCUCAACCGUGGAGGGUCAUUGGAAACUGGAAAACUUGAGUGCAGAAGAGGAAAGUGGAAUUCCAUGUGUAGCGGUGAAAUGCGCAGAGAUAUGGAGGAACACCAGUGGCGAAGGCGACUUUCUGGUCUGUAACUGACGCUGAUGUGCGAAAGCGUGGGGAUCAAACAGGAUUAGAUACCCUGGUAGUCCACGCCGUAAACGAUGAGUGCUAAGUGUUAGGGGGUUUCCGCCCCUUAGUGCUGCAGCUAACGCAUUAAGCACUCCGCCUGGGGAGUACGACCGCAAGGUUG